UUGCGACGUCGUACAUUAGUGCGGGUCGUACACUGGAUGGCUACACCUUCUCUGGUGUAAUCGCAUCCGGUGUCUUUCGACACCACCAUGACUGGUUGUGAUAAGCCUUAACGUAACACAUGGCCUGGCAUGAUGCGGUUCGGGGUUUUGCCCAGCACAAUGCGAUUGGGGGGCAUGGCCUGGCCUGAUGUGAUUGGGGGGCAUGGCCUGGCAUGAUGCGGUUCGGGGGGCAUGGCCUGGCAUGAUGUGAUUGGGGGGCAUGGCCUGGCAUGAUGCGGUUCGGGGGCAUGGCCUGGCAUGAUGCGG
Molecule: long non-coding RNA, 306 nt
Filed under: Volvox carteri
Lineage: Eukaryota; Viridiplantae; Chlorophyta; Chlorophyceae; Chlamydomonadales; Volvocaceae
Description: long non-coding RNA (VCAR_LNC003183)
Source: RNAcentral